CACAGACACAUAUAUAGUCUCUGGCGUGUCAGCUGUAAUUAGCGAAGUGACUGAGUAAUAGCUUGGAAUACGCAGAAACAGCGCUGGCGCAAUCAAAAGUGUCAGAUAAUUUAAGGUGGAACGGAAGGUCGCUGUUGAUACUGUCAUUAUGUUCAGCGGGGAUUAUACUUAAGUACUGUUGCUGGGCGUCAUGGUGGCAAAGACGAAAAAGGCAAAGUGUGCACAUUACACGGGAGUGAUGAGCAUUAAAAUUUGCGAACAAAAUGCUAUGCAGAUAAGGACAAAAUAAGGCGCUCUCAUAAACGAGCCGCGCUUUCUUGAAAAUUGGAUAAGCGCCGCUGAAUGAUUGUCAUACAUCAGUUUGAGAGUAAAUCAAUGACUGUUGCACGUCAAAAGACGUGAAAAACGGAACAAUUUCUGUGGAGUAGCACCAUCAUGAUAUAAAUGUUCCAUAACGCUCUAACAUUUUUCAGCUUUCUGCUUAACGUACUGCACUGUUUACAACAUGAUAAGUAGUGCUGACAGCAUGUAAACCACAUCCUGAUGCACCUCACCUCAGAGUUGUUUGUGGAAGUAUAAGGACAAACACAUGAAUCCCUAAUAUUUCCAGAUCUUCUAAGGGUAAUUCUCUGCCAUAAAAGGCUUUGAAAGGAGUUUUACCUCUCACAGGAC
Schistocerca serialis cubense is the source of this 672-nucleotide long non-coding RNA. RefSeq lists it as uncharacterized. The transcript is spliced from 3 exons. The record is from RefSeq and is a predicted model, not a curated record. NCBI's taxonomy places the organism in Eukaryota, Metazoa, Arthropoda, Insecta, Orthoptera, Acrididae.